GAUGAACGCUAGCUACAGGCUUAACACAUGCAAGUCGAGGGGAAACGAUAUUGGAAGCUUGCUUCUGAUAGGCGUCGACCGGCGCACGGGUGAGUAACGCGUAUCCAACCUGCCCAUCACUUGGGGAUAACCUUGUGAAAGUAAGACUAAUACCCAAUGACGUCUCUGGAAGACAUCUGAAAGAGAUUAAAGAUUUAUCGGUGAUGGAUGGGGAUGCGUCUGAUUAGCUUGUUGGCGGGGUAACGGCCCACCAAGGCGACGAUCAGUAGGGGUUCUGAGAGGAAGGUCCCCCACAUUGGAACUGAGACACGGUCCAAACUCCUACGGGAGGCAGCAGUGAGGAAUAUUGGUCAAUGGACGAGAGUCUGAACCAGCCAAGUAGCGUGCAGGAUGACGGCCCUAUGGGUUGUAAACUGCUUUUAUAAGGGAAUAAAAGUGGGAGUCGUGACUCUUUUUGCAUGUACCUUAUGAAUAAGGACCGGCUAAAUUCCGUGCCAGCAGCC
RNAcentral lists this ribosomal RNA (503 nucleotides) under uncultured bacterium. RNAcentral's name for it is "bacterial SSU rRNA". It matches the Rfam family "Bacterial small subunit ribosomal RNA", at positions 28 to 516 of the family's 1533-position model. The record is from RNAcentral.